GACUGCAUUUUUGUGCUUUAAGUUACUACAACUGCUGGAUUACUAAGAAAUAAUAGGAAAAAUAACCCGAUUUAUCUAACAAUGUGUGAGCUGCGUAAUCAAAACUCCCGUAUACGGAUGAAAAACAAGCGCCCUACAACUGGUGUCAGAUUGAUUCUGCAUCUACCAGCAGUCGGAGUGGCAGCUCAGCUGGUCAUUGAUGCUGUAAAUCGAGAGCCAAUUCAAACCAAUUUGACCAAUAUGCAGCGAGAAAACGAUCGUAUCAUCGAAGCAGAAAGAAUCAUGGAUUCAACGCAGACUGAUUCGAAUUUUUCUUGAGUUAGAAGCUAGUUAGGUUUGAACUGAGAAUUGCUUAUUACAUUUAGGUCUGAAAGCAGUUCUUAGGUCAAACAGUAAAAAUGUCAAUUGAAAUGUUAAGAGUUGAAAUAAAGUGCUGAUCAACAAAGAUCGUAACAGCACUUUGUUCCGAGAAGGUAGACACUUUUUAAGCCUAUUAAAAAUGAGAAAUUACGCGAUAUUUAGUCUGCGUUGAAACCACAUCGGUCGACAUGGAAGCCCACGGAUAGAUAACUGUUACGAUGAUGAUGGAUGAUUGAUGGAUCAGCAUGACACGAAUUGGAUCGAUACGGUAUGUUCACUGAGAUAAACUGAUAAUAAUCAUGUGCUUGUUUUUGUUGUAUUUUGUGGUGUGCCAACCAGCUCAACAGCUUGAUUGAGUUAUUUGGAGGAACUGCCAACUCCUAAAACGAAAAAAGCAUAGGUGCGUCUUGUAAGUAAUGAAUAAUUUUAAUGACUAGUCAAUUAGAAAUACCAUCAUCAGGGGUGACAUUGGGUUUGGGUGUGAGAUUGGGUCAUACAAAAAUGCAGAAAUUUGAAUGACCCAAGCUUACCCGGGCAGAUGGUAAUAACAAAAUUCAUGCCAUUUCAAUUACAAAUACUAUUCAAAUAACAGAAGGUGUUAUGAAAUCUUUUUGAAAAAUCCACGUUUGCAUAAGGGUUUAAUAACAGUUUAUGUUAUCAUAACAAAGUUUAUUAUUGGUCUGAUAUUGGUGGAAAGCCAAAACAACUUUGUAAUAACAUUUUUUGA
Long non-coding RNA from Culex quinquefasciatus (southern house mosquito), 1087 nucleotides. RefSeq lists it as uncharacterized. The record is from RefSeq and is a predicted model, not a curated record. The transcript has 3 exons. NCBI's taxonomy places the organism in Eukaryota, Metazoa, Arthropoda, Insecta, Diptera, Culicidae.